Molecule: long non-coding RNA, 401 nt
Organism: Fukomys damarensis (Damara mole-rat)
Lineage: Eukaryota; Metazoa; Chordata; Mammalia; Rodentia; Bathyergidae
Exons: 3
Source: RefSeq, a predicted model, not a curated record
GUCAUCACUAGACAGGACACCCAGUCUGGUGCCCAUCCUCUCACCUGCCACCUCCAAAGCAAGGCUUGAAGGAGUCAUGCAUUGCCAGAAUGGUGAGAUGAUGAAAGUAUCACUGUGGAGUCAGACAAACCAGUCACAGCUAUGCUACUGUGUCUUCAGAAGUUUAUUACCUGGAAACUGAGAGGCCAGCUAAUUUGAGUGAAAAGCAGUGAGACCCUAUACUACCUCAGACAUUCAGCCUCUUAGUCAUCACUCUGUCAGUGACACAAACAGAAUAUUCUGUGUGCGACCCGCAGGACGCAUGGACCAGCAUGAGGACAUAGACCAGAGAGAUGGGAAAUUCACCUCUGUUCUCUGGUAGCUCUUUCCCACCUCACUCCCAAAAAAGCAAGCAAACUCUC